This 300-nucleotide ribosomal RNA is filed under the name uncultured Aquifex sp. RNAcentral describes it as "bacterial SSU rRNA". The stretch from base 53 to 300 matches the Rfam family "Bacterial small subunit ribosomal RNA", at positions 548 to 795 of the family's 1533-position model. The record is from RNAcentral. Lineage: Bacteria; Pseudomonadati; Aquificota; Aquificia; Aquificales; Aquificaceae.
GCGAGGGAGGGGGCAGGGGGGGCGGGAAGACGUGAGGGGGAAGGGUUGGCCUGAUUUAUUGGUCGUGAGGAGUGCGGUGGCGGCUUGUUGGGUCUGCCGGGGAAUUCCAUGGUGUAGCUGUGGGCUUGCGGGGGAUACGGGCGGGCUGGAGUGCGGUAGGGGAGACUGGAAUUCCUGGUGUAGCGGUGAAAUGCGCAGAUAUCAGGAGGAACACCGGUGGCGAAGGCGGGUCUCUGGGCCGAUACUGACGCUGAGGAGCGAAAGCGUGGGGAGCGAACAGGAUUAGAUACCCCGGUAGUC